This 4892-nucleotide long non-coding RNA is filed under the name Coffea arabica (coffee). RNAcentral describes it as "long non-coding RNA (CARA_LNC006155)". The record is from RNAcentral. Lineage: Eukaryota; Viridiplantae; Streptophyta; Magnoliopsida; Gentianales; Rubiaceae.
AAAGCUUAACUUUUUAUGUUGAUCAGUUUCUAAUGCGAACCACAAAUUUAGGCCCUAAUUAUGCAACCAAUGCUAAAAUCAAGUAUCUUACGUUUUCUUGGGAAAAAAAAAAUGCCCACGAGAGUUUCCAAGAAACAAACUACAAUAGUGCAAAGAUGCACAUUCCGCGGCAUGGCUAUAAAAACAGCAAAGCGCAGAGAGGAGAGGCAGAAAAUACUCAAACAUAGAACUAGCAAUUUCUCAAGAGCCAUAAGCUUCAGAUAUCAAGAAAAAGCAUUUUUAGGAGCUCCAUCCAAUGUAGGGUGAACUUGGAACUAAGGUAGUCAUAUCAAUUGGACACUACAGCGCAUUUGGUGCAGCUAAUAUUUUGCAACUCAGUAAAACUGACUAGGCCAUUUUCCAGCUAAUUAGAGUGCUUCUAAAGCCUUUGAUGUGAACUGAAUAGAUGAAUAAUCUGUAAUUCUUCAUAAUAUAUAAGAAGGUGACUGUUACGGAACUGUUGUGGUAGCUCUCUGAGUUACCAUGUUUCUCUCAUUUGGAUUGCUGCAAUGCCUCAAUGAAGGCAUCCUUGAGAAGAGAAUUUGAAGCUGCUAUUCUUUGCGAGGUGAUAUCAAAAUCAGCACCAGACCUGCAGCAAAAGCAACAUGCAAUACUCAUAAAUAGCCUCUUAUCAUAUAUAUAAGUUAAAGCAAUUAUAAAAUUCAGUGCUAUUUCUACGGAUGCGACAUUUAGAGACUUGGCAUGUUUCAUUUUGGAACGACAUUCUGAACUCCAGAACUACUGGAUGAGCAGCAUGCAGAUCCAAUUCUUUUAAUAGACCAGGAAGAUGUCAGAAGUUCAGAGGACUUACGGAUCAAACAGAACACCUCCAGCUUCUUUAACAAUGAGAGCACCACCUGCCACAUCCCAAGGGCCUCCAUAUCCAAGUUCAUAAAAGAGAUCAAGCCUUCCACAUGCAAUACCACAGAGAUUUAAAGCACAGGAGCCACUCAUCCGAAGAGACCUCACCUGAUGUAUUGAGAAACAAGUAAUAUUAAUUAUGCAAUUUAAAAACUAUAUUUAAACUCCUGAUGGGCCCCAUCCAGAGGCAGCCAUGGUUUGGUUUGACCAGGCUGGGCGGGUCAUAUGGGUGUUGCAGCAGAACUCUAUCAUCUCAUGAAACCUAAUCCAAUUUACUACUACAAUCCUACAUCUGACGAUAGUCUUACGAAAGAGUUGUUACUACUAGUUCAUCUGUUAGUGGGUCAAGAUUCACCCGAGUCAAACUGCAAAGUGUGGUGGUUAGGACUGUUGGGAAUAAGGCAAUCCAUGUAAAACUGUUCUCCCUACUUCUUUUACAGUUGCAGUUCUUCUUCCGCAACAAUUAUUACUUGGUUUGACCUUCAAUUCUCCCCAAGCAUUAGGCAACGAUCAUUAUAUAUAUGUUGAGAAAAUGUGCAAGUCUUCUUAAAAAAAAAAAGAGGUGUGCAAAUACAGAGGGAAAUGUUGAGAAAAAAAAGGUUUCCUCAUGCAAAUCUCAUUCUGCUCUGCAGAAAGAAGCAUAAGUUCUGUGUUUUGCCCAGUGUUUUUCCAAGUCCUACAAGAAUUUCAUUUCCAGGUGGUUACCUAAAUCUCUAACCAAAAGGAGUCUUAAUUCCAUUCCCAAUCUUAGAGUGAUUCGGUGCGGAAGAAAAAUAAAAUAAAAUAAACGUUACCAUAAUCUGAAUGAAGAAGGUUAUUCUAAAACGACUAAAAAUUGGUAGUAUUUCCUUUUCCAACACGGUCACAGAAAUUGGCGCUCCAUAGUCUAUAUAUAAGAGGCCAUCCAGCCCUCUUCGACAUUAAGAUUACAGCUAUCGAGCCCCCUGCACUUUAGAAGUUUUCAUUCAGGUAAUCUCUCUAUUCUUCGAAUCUUCAAUCUUCAUGCGCCUUGCCUUGCUUCCCAGUUUGGAUUUUAUCAAUUCUACGAGAAGCCUCAUUAGUAUAAUGUAGCAGGAAGUUGUUUAUAGUACGAUUGUAGUUGAAGUUAGAGAUAUUAAGGGUUGAAAAAAAAAGGGCAGUUUGUUGAAACAUAAAUCGAAGUAUACUUGUUGAAGUACAUAUAAUAUGAAUGACUUCUGAUGAUCUUUGACAGGUGCCCCAUCUCCAACAAAACUUGGAACCAUGUUUCCUUUUCAAUUGCAAACCCCUCACCAAACUACCUAACUACUCUUGCCCCACCAGUCUCCUAUAUUAAGACUCCCUCUUCCAAGUCUUUCCCUUCAAUCUUCCCUUCUCUCCAACGCAAGCACUAGUUAUAUUUCUCGCACCAAUUAUCUUUCUGAUCAACAGGCUAAUUGACAAAGAUGGGUGCAACAAUGAGAUGCAUGGUGAUUCUUGGCGUCCUGUUUGCUCUGUUUAUGUCGUCCACUUCUGCGCAGUCAUGUUCAAAGUACAACUUUGCUAGCAAUAAAGUUUUCAGUGCCUGCAGCGAUCUUCCAUAUUUGAACUCCUAUCUUCAUUGGACGUACAGCCCAUCUUCCCAGAGUCUUGAGAUCGCGUUUAGGCGCUUGGGAACAUCAUCAUCAAGAUGGGUUUCUUGGGCUAUUAAUCCAACUUCUCAAGGGAUGGUGGGAUCACAAGCACUCGUGGCUUUCCAGAAAUCUGAUGGAACCAUGAGAGCCUACACUUCGCCUAUAAAAAGUUACCAGACGGGAUUACAAGAAGGAGAUUUGAGCUUCCCAGUUUCGGAUUUAUCUGCUACUUAUUCGAAUAACGAGAUGAUCGUUUAUGCUACCUUGAAGCUGCAGAAUUCCAGCUCUACUCUGAACCAGGUGUGGCAAGAAGGUCCACUCUCAAACGACAGCCCUGGAAUGCAUCCCACCACUGGUCCUAAUGUCCAAUCCAUGGGCACUCUCAACCUACUUUCUGGAGAAUCUAAGACCACAGCAGGAGCCUCAAGUUCAAAACUCAAGGCUAAGAAUGCAAGUCUUUGAAUCGUUUUUCCCUUUCUUUCUUGAGUUCGUGAUUAUAUAUCUUUACUUUCCCCCCAAAAAAAAAAUAUAAAGACUUGUAGAUAGAUAGACAUUCCUUGAAUCUAUUUAACAUGUUAUUUGUAAAGAAAAAGUUAAUCAUGAUAUUGCUGACCCAAUCCGCUUUUUGAUAUGUUUCAGAUUCAUGGGGUGCUGAACGCGGUGAGUUGGGGAAUUCUGAUGCCUCUGGGGGCUAUAAUCGCAAGAUACGUUAAGGAAUUUCCUUUGGCGGACCCUGCUUGGUUUUACCUUCAUGUUACCUGCCAAUUAUCGGCCUUCAUCCUUGGCGUGGCCGGAUUUGGUACUGGGCUCCGCCUGGGGAGCCAGUCUCCAGGAAUCACGUACGCAGUCCACAGGGGCCUUGGCAUUGCUCUCUUUACCCUGGCAUUGGUUCAGGCGAGUGCUUUGCUUAUAAGGCCGAAGAAGGAUCACAAGUGGAGAAGCUACUGGAAUUGCUACCACUACCUGGUCGGAUACGGAAUUCUCGGCAUCAGCAUCGCCAACAUUUUCAAAGGAUUGGAUAUCCUGAGCCCGGAGAAGAAAUGGAAAAGAGCAUACAUUGGCAUCUUGGUGACCCUGGCAUCUCUUGCCCUUCUCUUGGAAGUAAUUGUAUGGUUCCUGAAGAGGAGCAAGAGAUCUGCAGGUGCUGACAAGUUGAAGUCGUCCCACGGCACCAAUGGGACAAAUGGACUAAAUGGCUAUGGAGGAAGGAAGCCUGAGACAGUCUAGUUUACCAACUUGAGAUUUAUUCCUCCCUAUACAACUCUUUUCAUUUAGUGUUUUCCUUUUCGGUCGUACCUAUUUAUGCACCCGCAUGUAUAUUUUCCAACUCGACGGCAGAGGUUUUAAGAUGAGUUUAUGAUUUAGUAGUAGUAGAAUUUUAGAACUCCACGCCGAUAUGUAGGUACUAUUGUUUCUUGAAUGGCAUCUGCGGAUUUAUUAUUUUUUUUUCCCAUGAUUAAAAUCUCUUAUCUAUAUGUGUCUUUUUUCCAUAGUCUUAUUUCUGAUCAAUAGGUGUCUGUACUCUGUAGAAAAAGCAAUUGGUGUAUGAUGACACACAUCAUUAUUUGCAGAGACCUAGAAAUAUUGACAGACAGACAGCAAAUACUUUAUUUGUCCCAGUCAAUUCGUCCACUUCCUGCAACAUGUGCUGAUAUCAAUAAUUUAAUUAUCAUAUUCUCAACCAUCCAUGAAAAAAAGCUAACUUUUUAUGUUGAUUACUUUGCCCUAAUUAUGCAACCAAUGCUAAAAUCAAGUAUCUUACGUUUUCUUGGAAAAAAAAAAUGCCCACAAGAGUUUCCAAGAAACAAACUACAGUAGCGCAAAGAUGCACAUUCCGCGGCAUGGCUAUAAAAACAGCAAAGCGCAGAGAGGAGAGGCAGAAAAUACUCAAACAUAGAACUAGCAAUUUCUUAAGAGCCAUAAGCUUCAGAUAUCAAGAAAAAGCAUUUUUAGGAGCUCCAUCCAAUGUAGGGUGAACUUGGAACUAAGGUAGUCAUAUCAAUUGGACACUACAGCGCAUUUGGUGCAGCUAAUAUUUUGCAACUCAGUAAAACUGACUAGGCCAUUUUCCAGCUAAUUAGAGUGCCUCUAAAGCCUUUGACGUGAACUGAAUAGAUGAAUAAUCUGUAAUUCUUCAUAAUAUAUAAGAAGGUGACUGUUACGGAACUGUUGUGGUAGCUCUCUGAGUUACCACGUUUCUCUCAUUUGGAUUGCUGCAAUGCCUCAAUGAAGGCAUCCUUGAGAAGAGGAUUUGAAGCUGCUAUUCUUUGCGAGGUGAUAUCAAAAUCAGCACCAGACCUGCGGCAAAAGCAACAUGCAAUACUCAUAAAUAUCCUCUUAUCAUAUAUAUAAGUUAAAGCAAUUAUAAAAUUCAGUGCUAUAUCUACAGAUGCGACAUUU